GAUGAACGCUGGCGGCGUGCUUAACACAUGCAAGUCGAGCGGAAAGACCCGGCGUUUGUUCGUUGCUCGUGAGGGGAGGACGUGUGUGAAACGUGUGGAACCCCUCCUUAACAGACUGGGAAAAUUUGGAGACACGGGCGCAAAUACGGUAGGAUCUAUUGCACCACGUGGUUCAAUGGUAAGUGUCGGUGUUAGGGGAUGUACUGGCGGGUUAUCGGCUUGUUGGUGGAGUAGUGGCUUACCAAGGAUACGAGGGGUAGCAGGCCUAAGAGGGUGACCGGCCACAUUGGGCCUGAGGGACGGCCCAGACUGGUACGGGAGGCAGAAGUGGGGAAGAUUGCACGAUGGGCGGAAGCCUGAUGCAGCAGCGCCGCGUGCGGGAAAACGGCCUUCGGGGUGUAAACCGAUUUCGCCUGUAACGAAGCGUGAGUGACGGUAAUGGAUAAAGAAGCACCGGCUAACUACGUG
RNAcentral lists this ribosomal RNA (468 nucleotides) under uncultured bacterium. RNAcentral's name for it is "partial 16S ribosomal RNA". It matches the Rfam family "Bacterial small subunit ribosomal RNA", at positions 28 to 507 of the family's 1533-position model. The record is from RNAcentral.